This is a long non-coding RNA of Pipistrellus kuhlii (Kuhl's pipistrelle), 510 nucleotides long. RefSeq lists it as uncharacterized. Lineage: Eukaryota; Metazoa; Chordata; Mammalia; Chiroptera; Vespertilionidae. The record is from RefSeq and is a predicted model, not a curated record. The transcript is spliced from 2 exons.
UCUCUGAACUACAAUACCUUUAAUGUUCCCUCAUUAAGGGGUUGGGUGGGGGUCUUUGUAGUAUCCUCACCAUUCGUCCCUCUACCUCUCAUACUGGGCAGAAUCUUUUGUCCACUCUUGGGUGUGAUACUUAAACUGCUGAUUUCUAUUUCUGUCCUUUAUCCAUCCCAUGUUGUGACAAGUGCCUUCUGCAUGUGGUUUUUGAUGGAAAACUUUCCAAAAAGUAUUGCUUUGGCCCACCCUGAACAGACCUUCACCUUCAGUGCCAUCAUCAUCAACCAGAAGCAUUUGGACACUUUCUUUUCGAUGUGGUCAGAUGCUUUCCAGGGAAGAUGUGACUCUCUCUGUCCAGUUAUGAGUAACAAAUGGACAGAUGGAAAUGGCAUUAGUGUUCACAGAAGGUGACCUAUGUGAACACUUAAAAUCACAGGAGAAUCCACAUAAAGUCCACAUUCUUGAACUAAAACAUGGAUCAUGGGCGGCUUUCACCAUUUCCUAAGAGCUAAACUA